Molecule: long non-coding RNA, 2245 nt
Filed under: Homo sapiens (human)
Lineage: Eukaryota; Metazoa; Chordata; Mammalia; Primates; Hominidae
Description: HSALNT0351703
Source: RNAcentral
CUAAGCUGCCCAUCAAUCAUCACAUCCCCUUUCUCCCACUUACUUUUCUAUCACCCCGUAGAUUCCCAACAGCUGUCCUUAAGUCCUCCAGGCUACAGAAACCACUCUUGAAACAAUAUGUCAGCAUACCAUUAGUGCCCUUUAACUCAUACCCUCACUUCCCAGCCCCUCCUCUGUGAACGAAGUCUCUCCUUACCUCUUCCUCCAGCACUAAUCAAUCUAAUGUUCCUUCACUCUUUUCUCCCCUCCCAGCUUCCCUCCAACCUGCACCCAAUCCCCCCAAAUCCUUUCUCCUCUUUCUUUGCAAUUCUCCACACCAAGACUGAACACUUGUCAGAAAUGGUGCUCCCCCUGGGCCCCUCCACACCUCCUGAAGCCCAAUCCCUGUCACUUCUUACCACCCCCAGCUCCCUGAUGGCCCUGGGCCUCCCUCCCGACAGCUGAGGCCCUUCCUGGAUCUCUACACGUCACCAAGCUAAGCCAGUGUUCCAAAAUAGUCUCCUGAACAAUGAUGACAACUGCACAGUUAUUUUGGAAGAACUUCCUGGCAGUGAUGGCAGUGGAACAUUGGAAACAGAGAUGAACAGGAGGUGGGAAGAGGAGGCUAAGUACAUGUAGGCCUAAAAGUCUCUGCCUUGGGAGAUUUUUAACAGUCCUGGAUGGAGAUCCCCUCACUGAGACUUCCAAAGAUUUUUAUCAACAAUUUUAUGUCACUCCCACUAACUCUUUGAAGGUAAAUGGCAGAAUUAAUUUUCCCGUUUAAAAAACAGAAACACAAAGACCCAGUGGAGUCUGCAUUUUCUAGUUUUAGUCAGCCAUUCUGGAAGCUGCGUCCUGGUAACCGCAGUGUCCCAGCUGUGAACUCCGGGCAAGUGUACAGCAUCAUCUUCCAUUCACCAUGUGGUUACUGCACUUCUCAUACAAACUACCUGCGUUACUCAGUUAUCCAGUAUCAAGGACUAUGCCACACUCCUUAGAGCAGAUGCAGGGCACUUAGAGAUUAAUAAAACAGGCCGAGCACAGCCUGUAACCCCAGCACUUUGGGAGCCUGAGAUGGAAGAACUGCUUGAGCCCAGGAGUUCAAGACCAGCCUCGGCAACAUAGUGAGACCCCCAUCUCUACUAAAAAUAAAAAAUUAGCCUUGCAUGGUGGCACCUUCCUGUGGUCCCAGCUACUUGGGAGGCUGAGAUGGGAGGAUCCCUUGAGCUCAGGUGGUUGAGGCUGCAGUGAGUUGUGACUGUGCCACUGCACACCAGCCUGGGCAACAGAGCAAGACUCUGUCUCAAAAAAAUUAAUUAAUUAAAUAAAAAUAAAAAUAAAACCCUUUUAGAGUUCAAGUCUUAAUUGCCAUAUGGCUUUGAGCAACUUAUUUUAUCUCACUGUGCCUCCAUUUCCUAGACCUGGAAACGAAAAUAAGAGAGAAUGAAAUUUAAACAGCUUCUCAGAAGAGUAUGUAAGUUAAGCCACAUAAAACAUAUAAAUAAAUAUCUGUCACUUAGUAGCCACUCAGCACAUGGUAAUUACAAAGCAUGGUGCCAUAAGAAGUUGCUGGGGAGGCAGACAUGUAAAUGAAUGCAGAAAAUAUAUGAGGAAUACUAAAAUACAAAUUAAAGUGUCCUGUGGCUUUUUCAUCCACAUAGAUGAGUGUCAAAGCUACUAUCUCUCUGGGAGGAUCAUGGCAGACAGGAGGCAGGUCUAGAUUGCAGCUCCCACUCAGAUGGACAGAGCAGCAUGUGGAGUAUUGCAUCAUGAACUUUUGCUCCAGAAUGACUGCAGGAAGAAAUCAGGAAAGCCAAGAGAACCCACAGACCCUCUGAGGGAAGUGAAUUGCUCCUGCAGGACCUGGGAGACACCCCAAACACCAUGAGUGCCCAAACUAUGGAAGUCGGAAAGGGGCAUCGUUCACCCCCAAACACACAACCUCACUGGGGAACCGCAAGAUCUAGAUCACUGGAGAAGAUUCUGACAUUACCUGGAGCUGAGUCAAUUUAGAGAGCCGAGUGAAAUGCAGGGGUAGAGGAAGCAGUGGGAAAAUCCCUGUGGGCUCUCUGGGUGACCUAGCAAUCCAUUUCUGCCUUGCCUCCCAGGGGUCAUUGGGGAGGGCUACCAGAGGCACUGGGAAAAGGCCACAGGGAGAAGGAAGCCUCCAGCUGAACUUUGUAACAAUUCCAACUGAACAAGAAGUCUCCUGGCCAGAACUACAGGGAGGGCGUGAAUCCUGUGUGCAGACCACAGGCAGGGAAGC